RNAcentral lists this ribosomal RNA (1133 nucleotides) under human gut metagenome. Its description in RNAcentral is "bacterial LSU rRNA". It matches the Rfam family "Bacterial large subunit ribosomal RNA", at positions 1095 to 2248 of the family's 2925-position model. The record is from RNAcentral.
AGGAUGUUGGCUUAGAAGCAGCCAUACAUUUAAAGAGUGCGUAAUAGCUCACUAGUCGAGAAAACCUGCGCCGAAAAUGUAACGGGGCUAAAACACGACACCGAAGCUACGGAUUCCUUACAAAGUAAGGAGUGGUAGAGGAGCAUCCUGCAAGGACGAAGCCAAAGUGAGAGCGAUGGUGGACGAAACAGGAGAGAGAAUGCCGGAAUGAGUAGCGAGAUACAUGUGAGAAACAUGUAGGCCGAAUAUCUAAGGAUUCCUGGGUAAAGCUAAUCUUCCCAGGGUUAGUCGGGGCCUAAGGCGAGGACGAAAGUCGUAGUCGAUGGAUAACAGGUUGAUAUUCCUGUACUACACAUAAUCAGAACUGUGGGGACGCAGGAGGAUAGGGAAACCGGGGAAUGGAAAGACCCGGUCAAGCGUAAAGCUGUGGGAGAUAGGCAAAUCCGUCUCCUGUAAGUGAAACGUGAUGAGGACUGAAAAAAAGUAAGGAAGUUUCCGAAUCCACACUGCCGAGAAAAGCCGCUAUUGCGUUAUGUGUACCCGUACCGUAAACCGACACAGGUAGAUGAGGAGAAAAUCCACAGGCCGACGGGAGAAGUGUUGUUAAGGAACUCGGCAAAAUGACCCCGUAACUUCGGGAUAAGGGGAGCCUCGCAAGAGGCCGCAGAAAAGAGGCACAAGCAACUGUUUAGCAAAAACAUAGGUCUAUGCGAAACCGUAAGGUGAAGUAUAUGGGCUGACGCCUGCCCGGUGCUGGAAGGUUAAGAGGAGAGGUCAGCGCAAGCGAAGCUUUGAAUUCAAGCCCCAGUAAACGGCGGCCGUAACUAUAACGGUCCUAAGGUAGCGAAAUUCCUUGUCAGGUAAGUUCUGACCCGCACGAAAGGCGUAAUGAUUUGUGCACUGUCUCGACAACACGCCCGGUGAAAUUGAAGAACCAGUGAAGAUGCUGGUUACCCGCAACAGGACGGAAAGACCCCAUGGAGCUUUACUCCAGCCUGAUACUGGGAUUCGAUGAUAUAUGUACAGGAUAGGUGGGAGGCUAAGAAGCGAGAACGCCAGUUUUCGUGGAGCCGCCGGUGGGAUACCACUCUUAUGUCAUUGGAUUUCUAACCUGCAUCCGUAAUCCGGGUGAG